GCUCGCUUAACUCAGCUGGUAGAGUGCCACUAUGACAUGGUGGAAGUCACAGGUUCAAGUCCUGUAGCGAGCACCA
Molecule: transfer RNA, 76 nt
Filed under: Sulfurovum sp.
Lineage: Bacteria; Pseudomonadati; Campylobacterota; Epsilonproteobacteria; Campylobacterales; Sulfurovaceae
Also listed under: 1 other name
Description: tRNA-Val
Rfam family: tRNA
About the family: Transfer RNA (tRNA) molecules are approximately 80 nucleotides in length.
Source: RNAcentral